UCGAGCGAGAAGGUGUAGUGAUACACUUGUAAAGCGGCGAACGGGUGAGGAAUACAUGGGUAAUCUACCAUCGAGUGGGGAAUAACCAACCGAAAGGUUGGCUAAUACCGCGUACGCCUCCGGAUCUUCGGGUUCGGAGGGAAAGCUGCACUGUGAGUGUAGCGCUCUUUGAUGAGCUCAUGUCCUAUCAGCUUGUUGGUAGGGUAACGGCCUACCAAGGCUUUGACGGGUAGCUGGUCUGAGAGGACGAUCAGCCACACUGGCACUGCGACACGGGCCAGACUCCUACGGGAGGCAGCAGUAAGGAAUAUUGCGCAAUGGGCGAAAGCCUGACGCAGCGACGCCGCGUGGGGGAUGAAGGUCUUCGGAUUGUAAACCCCUUUCGGGAGGGAAGAUGGAGCGAGCAAUCGUUCGGACGGUACCUCCAGGAGCAGCCACGGCCAACUUCGUGCCAGCAGCCGCGGUAAUACGAAGGUGGCAAGCGUUGUUCGGAUUCACUGGGCGUACAGGGUGUGUAGGCGGUUUGGUAAGCCUUCUGUUAAAGCUUCGGGCCCAACCCGGAAAGCGCAGAGGGUACUGCCAGGCUAGAGGGUGGGAGAGGAGCGCGGAAUUCCCGGUGUAGCGGUGAAAUGCGUAGAGAUCGGGAGGAAGGCCGGUGGCGAAGGCGGCGCUCUGGAACAUACCUGACGCUGAGACACGAAAGCGUGGGGAGCAAACAGGAUUAGAUACCCUGGUAGUCCACGCCCUAAACUAUGGAUACUAAGUGUCGGCGGGUUACCGCCGGUGCCGCAGCUAACGCAUUAAGUAUCCCGCCUGGGAAGUACGGC
This 827-nucleotide ribosomal RNA is filed under the name uncultured Nitrospira sp. RNAcentral describes it as "bacterial SSU rRNA". It matches the Rfam family "Bacterial small subunit ribosomal RNA", at positions 62 to 886 of the family's 1533-position model. The record is from RNAcentral. Lineage: Bacteria; Pseudomonadati; Nitrospirota; Nitrospiria; Nitrospirales; Nitrospiraceae.